AGUGAACGCUGGCGGUAGGCCUAACACAUGCAAGUCGAACGGCAGCACAGUAAGAGCUUGCUCUUACGGGUGGCGAGUGGCGGACGGGUGAGGAAUACAUCGGAAUCUACUUUUUCGUGGGGGAUAACGUAGGGAAACUUACGCUAAUACCGCAUACGACCUACGGGUGAAAGCAGGGGAUCUUCGGACCUUGCGCGAUUGAAUGAGCCGAUGUCGGAUUAGCUAGUUGGCGGGGUAAAGGCCCACCAAGGCGACGAUCCGUAGCUGGUCUGAGAGGAUGAUCAGCCACACUGGAACUGAGACACGGUCCAGACUCCUACGGGAGGCAGCAGUGGGGAAUAUUGGACAAUGGGCGCAAGCCUGAUCCAGCCAUACCGCGUGGGUGAAGAAGGCCUUCGGGUUGUAAAGCCCUUUUGUUGGGAAAGAAAAGCAGCAGGUUAAUACCCCGCUGUUCCGACCGUACCCAAAGAAUAAGCACCGGCUAACUUCGUG
This 492-nucleotide ribosomal RNA is filed under the name uncultured bacterium. RNAcentral describes it as "partial 16S ribosomal RNA". It matches the Rfam family "Bacterial small subunit ribosomal RNA", at positions 29 to 507 of the family's 1533-position model. The record is from RNAcentral.